Long non-coding RNA from Equus caballus (horse), 1867 nucleotides. NCBI's taxonomy places the organism in Eukaryota, Metazoa, Chordata, Mammalia, Perissodactyla, Equidae. The record is from Ensembl.
GUGGGUCUGUGAGCACUGAUGUGAAGGCAGCUGAAGAAUUUUGGAAACUCUAGAUAAGCUGAUUGUGGAGGAAAAUUACUUGCCAGAGCAAAUAUUCAAUAUGGAUGAAACUUCCCUAUUCUGGAAACAGAGGCCUGAAAGGACUUUCAUCCAUAAGGAGGCCAAGUCAAUGCCAAGUUUCAAGCCUUUUAAGGACAUGUUAACAGUCUUGUUGGGGACGAGGUUAAGGGCUACAAAUGGAAACCCUUUGUGAUCUGGCACAGCAACAACCUCAAUGCCUUCAAGCACAUCAACAAGCACACACUGCCAGUGCAGAACAGGAGCAAUAAGAAGUCAUGGAUUACCCAACUCCUCUUCCAAGAUCCCCUCCUGAAUUGCUGUGCCAGUGAAAUGGAGAAGUGCUGUUUGGAGAAUAACAUACCUUUCAAGAUUUUGCUUAUUGUCGAAAACACUCUUGGACAUCCUCCUUUUACUGGUGGUCUUCAUCCCAAUAACAAUGUUAUGUCUUCCUCCAAACACCACCUGUUUGAUCCCACCACUGGAUCAAGGAGUUACAGCAGCUAUAAGGCCUUUGCCCAGGCUAUUGCUGCAACUGAGGAAGACACUCAUGCAAUUCUGGAAGGAGUACAACAUCUGUGACUGCAUCAAGAACUUCGCUUGGCUUGGGUUGAUGUCACCAAGGAGUGUAUGAAUGGCAUCUGGAAGAAAACACUUAAGAGGCUCAUCCAUGACUUCAGAGGAUUUGCCGAGGACGAGGAGUUUGUGAAAAUCAACAAGGCUGUGGGUGAGGUGGCAGACAACUUUAGUCUGGGUGAAUCAGGAUGACACCGAGGAGCUGCCAGAGACGUUCCCGAGGGUUGACUACCGAGGAGUUGUUGGAACUGGAACGGGAAUGCAGAGCUGAAGAAGAGGCGAGAGAAAGGAAACUACAGGAGAAGAAAAAGCACCCCCAAGAAAAUUCACAGUGAAGGGUUUAGCAGAAGAUUUGCAGACCUCAACAAGCUCCUUAAAAAGUUUGAAAACACGGACCCCAACCCAAAAGGUUUUCAUCAAUAGAGAGGAAUGUUCAUGGUGCAUUAUCUGCUUACAAGCAAAUCUAUGAGGAAAAACAGAAACAAACCAAGCAAACCACCGUGGACAUAUUUCUGAAAAGAGUGACACCUCCUCAGUAAGCGCCUCAGGCAGGUCCUUCAGGGGGUGUUCCAGAAGAAGCAUCGUAUCACAGGAGAUGACGGCUCCCUGCGUGUUAUUGCCCCUGAAGACCUUCCAGUGGGACAAGAUGUGGAGGUGGAAGUCAGGGAUACUGAUGAUCCUGACGCUGUGCAGGCCUAGGCUAAUAUGGUCCGCCUCUUGUCUUUGACGAGCACUGGACCUCAUGUUGGAUAGAAGACCAUUUAGGACACAAGAAAUUGUGUCAUAAUCCACUUCCAAAUCAGCCUCCUUCUUUGAAGAUGUCUCGUUGCACUGCCUGUAUUGUACUUGCCUGAUUCCCUGGUUCACUUUUAUUCUGUGUCCUCCCCUGUCUGCGUCUCCUCCACUAAGGGUGCCUCUCCUCGCCUGGGAGUUGUGUAGGAAUGCAUAUAAUAAUCAGAAGAUUGAUGAUCAGACUAAGAACUUCUGACAGCCGUGCUGUAAUAACGAGGACAUUGGCUUUCUCUGGAAUUAGGUGGGACGACGUCGGCACUAGACUAGGUCAUAAGGUCGGUGGAAUAGGUGAUGCCCUUCAUCUCUCACCUUGAAGGCCCCAGGGUCCACCUUCUGGGCCAGGAAAUCAUCAGGCCUGGCUCUGUCACAGUUAUUUCUGAAAUAGCGGCUUGAUAUUUUUCAGUAGUAACUGGCAUCUUUUGAAAAUAUUCCUGGCCUUUUG